UGGGGAAUAUUGCACAAUGGGCGCAAGCCUGAUGCAGCCAUGCCGCGUGUAUGAAGAAGGCCUUCGGGUUGUAAAGUACUUUCAGCGGGGAGGAAGGGAGUAAAGUUAAUACCUUUGCUCAUUGACGUUACCCGCAGAAGAAGCACCGGCUAACUCCGUGCCAGCAGCCGCGGUAAUACGGAGGGUGCAAGCGUUAACCGGAAUUACUGGGCGUAAAGCGCACGCAGGCGGUUUGUUAAGUCAGAUGUGAAAUCACCGGGCUCAACCUGGGAACGGCAUCUGAUACUGGCAAGCUUGAGUCUCGUAGAGGGGGGUAGAAGUCCAGGUGUAGCGGUGAAAUGCGUAGAGAUCUGGAGGAAUACCGGUGGCGAAGGCGGCCCCCUGGACGAAGACUGACGCUCAGGUGCGAAAGCGUGGGGAGCAAACAGG
RNAcentral lists this ribosomal RNA (429 nucleotides) under Chloroflexota bacterium. Its description in RNAcentral is "Chloroflexi bacterium partial 16S ribosomal RNA". It matches the Rfam family "Bacterial small subunit ribosomal RNA", at positions 355 to 776 of the family's 1533-position model. The record is from RNAcentral. Lineage: Bacteria; Bacillati; Chloroflexota.